GACGAACGCUGGCGGCGUGCCUAAUACAUGCAAGUCGAACGGACAGGCCCUGCUUUUGUGGGGUGCUCGAGUGCCGAACGGGUGUGUAUCACGUGUGUAACCUGCCCUUGACUUUGGGAUAACUUUACGAAACUGGGGCUAAUAUCGGAUAGGAGCUCCUGCUGCAUGGUGGGGGAUGGAAAGUUUCGGCGGUUGGGGAUGGACUCGCGGCUUAUCAGCUUGUUUGUGGGGUAGUGGCUUACCAAGGCUUUGACGGGUAGCCGGCCUGAGAGGGGGAACGGCCACCAUGGGACUGAGAGAGGGCCCAGACGCCUACGGGAGGCAGCGGGGGAGAAUAUUGCAGAGUGGGCGGAAGCCUGAUGCAACAACGCCGCGUGCGGGAUGACGGCCUUCGGGUUAUAAACCGCUUUCGACGGUGACGUGGCGUGAGUGACGGUAAUGGAUAAAGAAGCCCCGGCUAACUACGUG
This 468-nucleotide ribosomal RNA is filed under the name uncultured bacterium. Its description in RNAcentral is "partial 16S ribosomal RNA". It matches the Rfam family "Bacterial small subunit ribosomal RNA", at positions 28 to 507 of the family's 1533-position model. The record is from RNAcentral.